CCGUGUUCUUAGUGUCAUCCACGAUUAUCGAGGAUAAAAUUGAAGAAUCAAAAGGAAAAUCGAUGUUCGCACAGGAAGAGAGAGAAUCGAGAGACUAUGCUCAAAUAGGAAAAAGAAAUGACUGAUUGAAUUAGAAUCAAAAGCCAAGCUCUGAUACCAUAUCAAAAUAAUGAAGAAAAAAUAGAGAAGACUAGCUCACCUUGAAUGAGCUCUAAUGGCAGUUGAGGGGAACCAUAGGAGACGAAGCUUCUAGAAGAUUUCUGCUCAGUUUCAU
Molecule: long non-coding RNA, 274 nt
Filed under: Nicotiana benthamiana
Lineage: Eukaryota; Viridiplantae; Streptophyta; Magnoliopsida; Solanales; Solanaceae
Description: long non-coding RNA (NBEN_LNC038290)
Source: RNAcentral